This is a long non-coding RNA of Oryctolagus cuniculus (rabbit), 1632 nucleotides long. NCBI's taxonomy places the organism in Eukaryota, Metazoa, Chordata, Mammalia, Lagomorpha, Leporidae. The record is from Ensembl.
AACAGUUUAAGGGGGAAAAAUCUAAACCUCAUUUGGGGGUCCAGAAUUGAUGAUUCCCCAAAGCUUCAUCGAGAGUGCGUGUUGAUCCUGGUUUCCUAUUUGCUUUGUUUAGCACAUUCCUUCACAGAGCCCGGGAGGAGCCUGGGAAGGCAGGCGAAGGGUGUGGGAAGAUGCUGGAAUCCGAGUAGGAGCUCGGAUUGUUGGUGGAACAUAUUGCUGUCUGUGUGGAAAUGUGCACAGCAGUUACCACUUUGGAUGAAUAUGCAUUAGCGACGGUGCUGUAAUCUGCCCGCGUGCGCCACGCUCCACUCGGCGACUUGGCAAGAUGGCGUGCACUACUAGCCGAAGUCCCAGCUUUGCACGAUUCCAACUGGAGAUACACCUCUAACAGCAAGAAGGAGUGCAGAGGUGGUGCCCCAGGAGAAUCAGCCCUGCCUCGCCUUGAUGGGGAGGGGACCACUUCCCCUGGCAAGGAAGGCCCGUCAGGAUUUAGCAGCUCGCUGACCCCAGCCUCAUCAGGAUCCUUCUACACAUCCCCAUCCCAACUUACAGGACCCACUCUUUUCCUCCCAAUACCCACACUUCAACAGGCUGCUUUUAAAAGUUCAUGGAAAAGUGGAGUAAAAAGAUAAAAUGCAAUUUUUUACUGCAAACAAUUUUGAAAUCCAUGCAUUUCUUUGAACCUUUUGAAGACCUCUCAUAGAUAGCGUAUGAGGUUGAAAGUUCAAUUCUCAUUGUACUUGAGACAAUUGUAUAAUGAGGUCUUGCGUGUGGCUCUUAGCAACCUCAGCCCUUUGUCUAAAGGAGAGAAGUUUGGAACAUAAGAUACUGCGAAAUUCUUGGGUCAUUAAUGCUGAGCUGGCACUAAGAAAUCUUAUUCUCAAGUUUGUCUUUUCCUUUGUCCAAUGAGGAUGAGAUUAACCAAUCAGCAUCACUGUGUUCCUUAGUUCCCCACAGUAUUCAGGAGCACUAAGUACAGAAUCCCUAAAUACCUUGCCUCUUAGGAGUGCUGAGUCAGGAGUGUCCAAUGCGCUUAUCUUACAGAUCUCUAAAAACCAUCGCUACUCUUGCUAUUAUUAGAAGUAGAGUCCUUAUCAUUUUUAGGUCUAAUACGAUUAGACAGCCAAUUUCACAAACCACAAAACCAAUUAAGGAAACUCAUCCUUAAAUUUCUGUUCCUCCCAGUACCAAAAUCUGUAUCAGUCAGGAUUCUAUAGGGAGACAGAAGCAGUAGGAUACAUAUCUAUACGGAUGGAGGGAGAUUUGUUAGGGGAAUUGACUUAUGCAAUUAUGGCAACUGAGAGAUUCCAUGGUAAGAUUCCCUGACAGCUGGAGAGCCGGUAUACAAGUUGCUCGGGUCAGUCCAAGUCCAGAGGCCUCAGAAUGAGGGAAGCCGGUGCUGUGACAUUCAGCUGGAGGCUGAAAACCUGAGGACCCCGUGAGAGGGCUGCUGCUGUGAGUCCAGGACUCUAAAGGCCAGGAAGUCUCGAAUGGCCAUGUCUAAGGCAGGAGACCAGCACAUCCCAGCUGUCGGAGAGGGACCCUGGCUUUGACUUCCAGCUUGACGUGAUGGUUUUUCUUCUGUGUAGCUGUGCACGCUCCCACCUCAUACACCUGUUCAAUGACACAAGC